Acanthosepion pharaonis is the source of this 112-nucleotide non-coding RNA. The record is from the annotation of a GenBank genome assembly. Lineage: Eukaryota; Metazoa; Mollusca; Cephalopoda; Sepiida; Sepiidae.
UACGGCGGUAUCACGUUGAAACGCAGGUUCUCGUACAAUCACCGAAGUUAAGCAACGUCUAGACUAAUCAGUACCUAGAUGGGUGACCGUUUGGAAAUAUCAGGUGCUGUAA